RNAcentral lists this non-coding RNA (25 nucleotides) under Cricetulus griseus (Chinese hamster). Lineage: Eukaryota; Metazoa; Chordata; Mammalia; Rodentia; Cricetidae. RNAcentral also lists the same sequence under 1 other name. The record is from RNAcentral.
CUGGGAAUUGAACUCAGGACCUCUG